AGGAUGUUGGGUUAAGUCCCGCAACGAGCGCAACCCUCGACCUUAGUUGCCAGCAUUCAGUUGGGCACUCUAGCGAGACUGCCGGUAAUAAACCGGAGGAAGUGGGGAUGACGUCAAAUCAUCAUGCCCCUUAUGACCUGGGCUACACACGUGCUACAAUGGUUGGUACAACGAGUUGCGAGUCGGUGACGGCGAGCUAAUCUCUUAAAGCCAAUCUCAGUUCGGAUUGUAGGCUGCAACUCGCCUACAUGAAGUCGGAAUCGCUAGUAAUCGCGGAUCAGCACGCCGCGGUCGAAUACGUUCCGGGCCUU
RNAcentral lists this ribosomal RNA (311 nucleotides) under uncultured Streptococcus sp. RNAcentral's name for it is "bacterial SSU rRNA". It matches the Rfam family "Bacterial small subunit ribosomal RNA", at positions 1069 to 1382 of the family's 1533-position model. The record is from RNAcentral. Lineage: Bacteria; Bacillati; Bacillota; Bacilli; Lactobacillales; Streptococcaceae.